Molecule: non-coding RNA, 21 nt
Filed under: Caenorhabditis elegans
Lineage: Eukaryota; Metazoa; Nematoda; Chromadorea; Rhabditida; Rhabditidae
Source: RNAcentral
UAUGUAUUACAUAUUAUGAUC